Small nucleolar RNA from Rana temporaria (common frog), 85 nucleotides. RefSeq annotates it as small nucleolar RNA SNORD70. The record is from RefSeq and is a predicted model, not a curated record. NCBI's taxonomy places the organism in Eukaryota, Metazoa, Chordata, Amphibia, Anura, Ranidae. The transcript has a single exon.
UUUACAGUUGCCAAUGAUGGAUUUUUGUUAACCUGAAAUACCAUGAUUUAACCUCAACUCUUCGUCACUACCACUGAGGCAUAAU